This 492-nucleotide ribosomal RNA is filed under the name uncultured bacterium. RNAcentral's name for it is "partial 16S ribosomal RNA". It matches the Rfam family "Bacterial small subunit ribosomal RNA", at positions 29 to 507 of the family's 1533-position model. The record is from RNAcentral.
AGUGAACGCUGGCGGCAGGCCUAACACAUGCAAGUCGAACGGCAGCACAGUAAGAGCUUGCUCUUACGGGUGGCGAGUGGCGGACGGGUGAGGAAUACAUCGCAAUCUACUUUUUCGUGGGGGAUAACGUAGGGAAACAUACGCUAAUACCGCAUACGACCUACGGGUGAAAGCAGGGGAUCUUCGGACCUUGCGCGAUUGAAUGAGCCGAUGUCGGAUUAGCUAGUUGGCGGGGUAAAGGCCCACCAAGGCGACGAUCCGUAGCUGGUCUGAGAGGAUGAUCAGCCACACUGGAACUGAGACACGGUCCAGACUCCUACGGGAGGCAGCAGUAGGGAAUAUUCGGCAAUGGGCGCAAGCCUGAUCCAGCCAUACCGCGUGGGUGAAGAAGGCCUUCGGGUUGUAAAGCUCUUUUGUUGGGGAAGAAAAACAGCAUGUUUAACCACCGCUGUUUUGACGGUACCCAAAGAAUAAGCACCGGCUAACUUCGUG